AUUGAACGCUGGCGGCGUGCUUAACACAUGCAAGUCGUGCGGUAACAGGCGUAGCAAUACGUGCUGACGAGCGGCGAACGGGUGCGUAAUACAUGGGAAUCUGCCUUUUAGUGGGGAAUAACCCGGCGAAAGCCGGGCUAAUGCCGCAUAAGAUCUUCGGAUGAAAGCGGGGGAUCGUAAGACCUCGCGCUGAUAGAUGAGCCCAUGCCGGAUUAGCAGUUGGUGAGGUAACGGCUCACCAAGGCGACGAUCCGUAGCUGGUCUGAGAGGACGGCCAGCCACACUGGGACUGAGACACGGCCCAGACUCCUACGGGAGGCAGCAGUGGGGAAUAUUGGACAAUGGGGGAAACCCUGAUCCAGCGACGCCGCGUGUGUGAAGAAGGCCUGCGGGUUGUAAAGCACUUU
RNAcentral lists this ribosomal RNA (407 nucleotides) under uncultured bacterium. RNAcentral describes it as "bacterial SSU rRNA". It matches the Rfam family "Bacterial small subunit ribosomal RNA", at positions 30 to 436 of the family's 1533-position model. The record is from RNAcentral.